Molecule: long non-coding RNA, 944 nt
Filed under: Setaria viridis
Lineage: Eukaryota; Viridiplantae; Streptophyta; Magnoliopsida; Poales; Poaceae
Description: long non-coding RNA (SVIR_LNC010508)
Source: RNAcentral
GUGGUAAUUACUAGAUCUCAAGUCCAAAGUUAUUUUUUUAAUUUUACUCUUGUGCGUCUUUGUGAGCACUCAAAGUAGGAAAAGCACAUGGAGAUCAAGUUUGGGUGAUUAGCAUAUAAGAAGUGUGAUCAUUGGUGGGAAGAUCAAAUAUGAAAUAUGAUUGAUGUAGAAUGGUUUCUCACUACAAGCAAGAUUGUCUAAUUGGGGCUUCCUUUUGUGAACUUCUAAUCAAGCUAAACUUUAAGUGGAGUAUUAACCAUUCAAAUUCUAAAGUUCCCAUUCAAAGGAAAUUUAUAUAUGGCAAAUUAUCAUGGAUUCACUCAUAUCUUGAGGUAAUUCUCAUGCUUUACUUUUUGGCAAUGCUUGUUUACUUUGCAAGUACUUUUGUGUAUAUUGUCCAAAAUAUAGGAUACACUCCUUUUGAGUCUUAAAUGAACUCGUGCAUAUCUCUAGUUAUUCAAAUACUUGGAUGCACACAUUUAAGGGGAGCUUUUCCUAUGUUUUGUGAUUUUGAGACUAACUUUGCUUUCAGGUGAUAUUUUUCUUAAUUUUGGUCUCAUGAAGUGAAAUAUCAUAGAAGGUAUGUAUAUUCCCUCUCUUUUAAUUGGUACCUUAUUGCAUCUUUGCCUUAGUUACACUCCAUAAUAUAGCUUAAAUUUCUCUUGUGGCUUAAAUGUCAACUAGUGCACAUAAGCUUACCUUCCACCAUAUACGUGUACUAACUUUUGGGGGAAUUUAAUCUAUAUUAUGAGGUUUCAUGAAUAAUUGACCCCACAUAUCUUCCACAUCCAAAGGAUAAUUAUUUGUGAAACUCUCCCUUGUGCUUUUAAUGCUUUCUCUUUUCCAUGUGUUGUAUCAAGGUUAUUUCAAGUGCUUUCAAAAUUGCUUCAGAGUUAUUACAUGGGAGUCAUGGUCUUUUGAAGUGCACCCCUCCUCAAUUGAUU